Molecule: ribosomal RNA, 449 nt
Filed under: uncultured bacterium
Lineage: Bacteria
Description: partial 16S ribosomal RNA
Rfam family: Bacterial small subunit ribosomal RNA
Source: RNAcentral
AACGAACGCUGGCGGCAUGCCUAACACAUGCAAGUCGAACGAGGUCUUCGGGUCUAGUGGCGCACGGGUGCGUCACGCGUGGGCAGCUGCCCUUUGGUUCGGAAUAACAGUUGGAAACGACUGCUAAUAUCGGAUGAUGACCAAAGUCCAAAGAUUUAUCGCCUGAGGAUGAGCCCGCGUUGGAUUAGGUAGUUGGUGGGGUAAAGGCCUACCAAGCCGACGAUCCAUAGCUGGUCUGAGAGGAUGAUCAGCCACACUGGGACUGAGACACGGCCCAGAUUCCUACGGGAGGCAGCAGUGGGGAAUACUGGACAAUGGGCGAAAGCCUGAUCCAGCAAUGCCGCGUGAGUGAUGAAGGCCCUAGGGUUGUAAAGCUCUUCUACCCGGGAAGAUAAUGACUGUACCGGGAGAAUAAGCCCCGGCUAACUCCGUGCCAGCCGCCGCCGUAA